GGGUUUCGCCCUUAGUGUGCAUCAACGCAUAAGCGUCCGCUGGGGAGUACGUCGCAAGCUGAACUCAAGGAUGACGGGGCAGCACAAGCGGUGAGCAUGUGUUAAUUCGAAGCACCGGAGGAACCUUACAGGUCUUGACAUCUUCUGACACCCUAGAGAUAGGGUUCCCCUUCGGGGGCAGAGUGACAGGUGGGUGCAUGGUGUCGUCAGCUCGUGUCGUGAGAUGUUGGGUUAAGUCCCGCAACGAGCGCAACCCUUGAUCUUAGUUGCCAGCAUUCCAGUUGGGCACUUUAAGGUGACUGCCGGUGACAAACCGGAGGAAGGUGGGGAUGACGUCAAAUCAUCAUGCCCCUUAUGACCUGGGCUACACACGUGCUACAAUGGGCAGAACAAAGGGCAGCGAAGCCGCGAGGCUAAGCCAAUCCCACAAAUCUGUUCUCAGUUCGGAUCGCAGUCUGCAACUCGACUGCGUGAAGCUGGAAUCGCUAGUAAUCGCGGAUCAGCAUGCCGCGGUGAAUACGUUCCCGGGCCUUGUACACACCGCCCGUCACACCACGAGAGUUUGUGGACACCCGAAGUCGUUGAGGUAACCUUUUGGAGCCAGCCGCCUAGGAUGUUUACCAGGGGCG
Molecule: ribosomal RNA, 629 nt
Filed under: Bacillus licheniformis
Lineage: Bacteria; Bacillati; Bacillota; Bacilli; Caryophanales; Bacillaceae
Description: bacterial SSU rRNA
Rfam family: Bacterial small subunit ribosomal RNA
Source: RNAcentral